This 1122-nucleotide ribosomal RNA is filed under the name uncultured organism. Its description in RNAcentral is "bacterial SSU rRNA". It matches the Rfam family "Bacterial small subunit ribosomal RNA", at positions 343 to 1467 of the family's 1533-position model. The record is from RNAcentral.
GGGUGGCAGCAGUCGAGAAUCAUUCGCAAUGGGGGAAACCCUGACGACGCGACGCCGCGUGGAGGAUGAAGGCCUUAGGGUUGUAAACUCCUGUCAAGAGGGAAUAAGCAAGUGAAGGUACCUCUAGAGGAAGGGGCGGCUAAUUCCGUGCCAGCAGCCGCGGUAACACGGAAGCCCCGAGCGUUGUUCGGAUUCAUUGGGCGUAAAGGGUGCGUAGGCGGCGCGGAAAGUCCGGCGUGAAAGGCAGGGGCUCAACCUCUGGACUGCGUUGGAUACUUCCGUGCUUGAGGACUGGAGGGGAGACUGGAAUUCACGGUGUAGCAGUGAAAUGCGUAGAUAUCGUGAGGAAGACCGGUGGCGAAGGCGAGUCUCUGGACAGAUCCUGACGCUGAGGCACGAAGGCUGGGGGAGCGAACAGGAUUAGAUACCCUGGUAGUCCCAGCAGUAAACGAUGUGAGCUUGAUGUGGGGGGAUUCGACCCCUUCCGUGUCGAAGCUAACGCGAUAAGCUCACCGCCUGAGGAGUACGGCCGCAAGGCUAAAACUCAAAGAAAUUGACGGGGACCCGCACAAGCGGUGGAGUAUGUGGCUUAAUUCGAUGCAACGCGAAGAACCUUACCUGGCCUUGACAUGCAUUGUGUCGUCGGUGAAAGCCGGCUAGUCCUGGAAACAGGACGCUUUGCACAGGUGCUGCAUGGCUGUCGUCAGCUCGUGUCGUGAGAUGUCGGGUUAAGUCCCGCAACGAGCGCAACCCUUGUGGUCAGUUACUAACCGGCUUAGCCGGAGGACUCUGGCCAGACUGCCCUGUCAAACGGGGAGGAAGGUGGGGACGACGUCAAGUCAGUAUGGCCCUUAUGGCCAGGGCUGCACACGUACUACAAUGCCCGGUACAAUGUGAACCGAAACCGCGAGGUGGAGGAAAUCGCUCUUGAAAACCGGGCCCAGUUCGGAUUGGAGUCUGCAACUCGACUCCAUGAAGUCGGAAUCGCUAGUAAUGGCGUAUCAGCAACGACGCCGUGAAUACGUUCCCGGGUCUUGUACACACCGCCCGUCACAUCAUGGAAGUCUCCUGUACCCGAAGCACGUGCGCCAACCUUUCAGGAGGCAGCGUUCGAAGGUAUGG